AUGGAAGCUCUGCUGCUUUUCCUUGCUCUGCUCGCCGCCCCCAGCUGUGUCCUCUCCCAGGUGCAGCUGGUCCAGUCCGGCCCGGGGUCGGUGAAGCCCGGAGAGACCCUCACCCUGAGCUGCGCUGUCUCUGGGUUUUCUGUUAGUACCGGCGGCUACGACUGGCACUGGAUCCGGCAGCCCCCUGGGAAAGGGCUUGAAUGGAUGGGCCGGGUAUAUCCAUACAGCAGCGGGGCCACAAACUACGCCCCGUCUCUCCAGGGCCGAGUCACCAUCUCUGCAGACACCGCCAAGAACCAGUUCUCGCUGCAGCUCCGCUCGCUGACAGCUGCAGACACCGCCGCUUAUUACUGCGCCAGGGGAGACACAGUGACACAGCGCAACGCAGGGCCUGGUGGGAGCACAAGCUACAACCCGUCCCUGCAAGGCCGCAUCACCAUCACCGUGGAUUCUUCCAGCACCAAGUAUUAUCUGCUGCUCAGCUCGCUGACAGCUGCAGACACCGCCAUGUAUUUCUGUGCCAGAGACACAGUGACACGGAGCGAAGCAGGGUCUGGCAGAAAAAGGGGAAGCGGAUUCUGA
Non-coding RNA from Pelodiscus sinensis (Chinese soft-shelled turtle), 582 nucleotides. Lineage: Eukaryota; Metazoa; Chordata; Testudines; Trionychidae. The record is from the annotation of a RefSeq genome assembly.